RNAcentral lists this ribosomal RNA (460 nucleotides) under uncultured bacterium. RNAcentral's name for it is "partial 16S ribosomal RNA". It matches the Rfam family "Bacterial small subunit ribosomal RNA", at positions 338 to 795 of the family's 1533-position model. The record is from RNAcentral.
CCUACGGGAGGCAGCAGUGAGGAAUAUUGGUCAAUGGGCGCUAGCCUGAACCAGCCAAGUAGCGUGAAGGAUGACUGCCCUAUGGGUUGUAAACUUCUUUUAUAUGGGAAUAAAGUGAAGUAUGUAUACUGCUUUGCAUGUACCUUAUGAAUAAGGAUCGGCUAACUCCGUGCCAGCAGCCGCGGUAAUACGGAGGAUUCGAGCGUUAUCCGGAUUUAUUGGGUUUAAAGGGAGCGUAGGCGGGUUGUUAAGUCAGUUGUGAAAGUUUGCGGCUCAACCGUAAAAUUGCAGUUGAUACUGGCAGCCUUGAGUACAGUAGAGGUAGGCGGAAUUCGUGGUGUAGCGGUGAAAUGCUUAGAUAUCACGAAGAACUCCGAUUGCGAAGGCAGCCUGCUGGACUGUAACUGACGUUGAUGCUCGAAAGUGUGGGUAUCAAACAGGAUUAGAUACCCUAGUAGUC